AUAACACAUGCUAAGUCAGGUGGAAUAUUUUAGUGCAUGUUCUUUGAUGAUUACCAAUAACAGCAGUUAGGAGUGAAAUCGAUUGUAUACACUUGAGCUUUGGUUUUGGGGACAUUAUUUCUUUGAAUCAUUAAUAAUGCAGCACAGAGCUUAUUGUUUCUACUUAAAUCUGUAGUUCAUUUAGAAGGAUUGGAAAUACAGGAACUAGUGCUCAGGAGUUCUAUAUUGAUCACUAUCUAAGAUAUAUAAUCACUUUAUCUCACAACAUAAUUUGAUAAUUUCCUAGGUCAGCAGAAGACUUUGCUUACUUCUGCAUUCUACUUUCAGAUGAGAAAACUUACGGUUCCAGCUUAGUCAAGAUUCUUAUCACCCCAAGAGAGACAGAGAGCAGGAGAAGCAGCAGAGGGAGAGAGA
Molecule: long non-coding RNA, 414 nt
Organism: Canis lupus familiaris (dog)
Lineage: Eukaryota; Metazoa; Chordata; Mammalia; Carnivora; Canidae
Exons: 3
Source: RefSeq, a predicted model, not a curated record